AAGGAUCAUUAUUGAAUGAACUUGGUGUGGUUGUUGCUGGCCCUCUCGGGGGCAUGUGCACACCCACCAUCCUCAUCUCUCCACCUGUGCACCUCUUGUAGACCUGGAUAGACUUUCCGAGGCAACUCGGUCGGGAAGAUUGCUGCGCUCUGUGAGCCAGCUUUCUUUGCAUGUCCAGGCCUAUGUUUUUUAAUAUACCCCUAUAGAAUGUAACAGAAUGUAUCAUUGGGCCUUGUGCCUAUAAACCUUAUACAACUUUCAGCAACGGAUCUCUUGGCUCUCGCAUCGAUGAAGAACGCAGCGAAAUGCGAUAAGUAAUGUGAAUUGCAGAAUUCAGUGAAUCAUCGAAUCUUUGAACGCACCUUGCGCUCCUUGGUAUUCCGAGGAGCAUGCCUGUUUGAGUGUCAUUAAAUUCUCAACCUUAUUAGCUUUUGUUGAUAAUGGAUUGGAUGUGGGGGUUUCUUUUGCUGGCUUCUUCACAGAUAUCAGCUCCCCUUAAAUGCAUUAGCUGGUGCCCCGCGUGGACCAUCUAUUGGUGUGAUAAUUAUCUACGCCGUGGAUGUCUGCAAUCAUAUGGGUUUUGCACUGCUUCUAACCGUCUGUUCAUUCGGACAACACAUGACAAUUUGACCUCAAAUCAGGUAGGACUACCCGCUGAACUUAAGCAUAUCAAUAAGCGGAGGAAAAGAAACUAACAAGGAUUCCCCUAGUAACUGCGAGUGAAGCGGGAAAAGCUCAAAUUUAAAAUCUGGCGGUCUCCGGCCGUCCGAGUUGUAAUCUAGAGAAGUGUUAUCCGCGCUGGACCGUGUACAAGUCUCCUGGAAUGGAGCGUCAUAGAGGGUGAGAAUCCCGUCUUUGACACGGACUGCCAGGGCUUUGUGAUGCGCUCUCAAAGAGUCGAGUUGUUUGGGAAUGCAGCUCAAAAUGGGUGGUAAAUUCCAUCUAAAGCUAAAUAUUGGCGAGAGACCGAUAGCGA
This 976-nucleotide small RNA is filed under the name uncultured fungus. RNAcentral's name for it is "eukaryotic LSU rRNA". The stretch from base 628 to 976 matches the Rfam family "Eukaryotic large subunit ribosomal RNA", at positions 1 to 343 of the family's 3401-position model. The record is from RNAcentral. Lineage: Eukaryota; Fungi.